UACAGAGACGGCAAGCGUUGUUCGGAUUCAUUGGGCGUAAAGGGUCUGUAGGCGGCCGAUUAAGUCGGAUGUGAAAUCUCACAGCCUAACUGUGAGCGGUCAUUCGAAACUAGUCGGCUGGAGGACUGGAGAGGAGACUGGAACGGUCGGUGUAGCGGUGAAAUGCGUAGAGAUCGACCAGAACACCAGUGGCGAAGGCGGGUCUCUGGACAGUUCCUGACGCUGAGAGACGAAAGCCAGGGGAGCAAACGGG
This 253-nucleotide ribosomal RNA is filed under the name uncultured bacterium. RNAcentral describes it as "partial 16S ribosomal RNA". It matches the Rfam family "Bacterial small subunit ribosomal RNA", at positions 524 to 776 of the family's 1533-position model. The record is from RNAcentral.